GUGACCUCAAAUCAGGUAGGACUACCCGCUGAACUUAAGCAUAUCAAUAAGCGGAGGAAAAGAAACUAACAAGGAUUCCCCUAGUAACUGCGAGUGAAGCGGGAAAAGCUCAAAUUUAAAAUCUGUCAGUCUUUGAYUGUCCGAAUUGUAAUCUAGAGAAGUGUUAUCCGCGUUGGACCGUGUACAAGUCUCCUGGAAUGGAGCGUCAUAGAGGGUGAGAAUCCCGUCUUUGACACGGACUGCCAGGGCUCUGUGAUACACUCUCAAAGAGUCGAGUUGUUUGGGAAUGCAGCUCAAAAUGGGUGGUAAAUUCCAUCUAAAGCUAAAUAUUGGCGAGAGACCGAUAGCGAACAAGUACCGUGAGGGAAAGAUGAAAAGAACUUUGGAAAGAGAGUUAAACAGUACGUGAAAUUGCUGAAAGGGAAACGCUUGAAGUCAGUCGCGUUGUCCAGGGAUCAACCUUGCUUUUGCUUGGUGUAUUUUCUGGUUAACGGGUCAGCAUCAAUUUUGACUAUUGGAAAAAAGUCAAGGGAAUGUGGCAUCUUAGGAUGUGUUAUACGCCCUUGGUUACAUACAAUUGUUGGGAUUGAGGAACUCAGCAC
This 602-nucleotide ribosomal RNA is filed under the name Phlegmacium superbum. Its description in RNAcentral is "eukaryotic LSU rRNA". It matches the Rfam family "Eukaryotic large subunit ribosomal RNA", at positions 1 to 602 of the family's 3401-position model. The record is from RNAcentral. Lineage: Eukaryota; Fungi; Basidiomycota; Agaricomycetes; Agaricales; Cortinariaceae.